This 253-nucleotide ribosomal RNA is filed under the name uncultured bacterium. Its description in RNAcentral is "partial 16S ribosomal RNA". It matches the Rfam family "Bacterial small subunit ribosomal RNA", at positions 524 to 776 of the family's 1533-position model. The record is from RNAcentral.
UACAGAGACUGCGAGCGUUAUUCGGAUUCACUGGGCGUAAAGGGUGCGCAGGCGGCCGUGUGUGUGGGGCGUGAAAGCCCGAGGCUUAACCUCGGAAUUGCACCUCAAACUACAUGGUUAGAGUACUGGAGAGGGAAACGGAAUUCACGGUGUAGCAGUGAAAUGCGUAGAUAUCGUGAGGAACACCAGAGGCGAAGGCGGUUUCCUGGACAGUUACUGACGCUCAGGCACGAAAGCGUGGGGAGCAAAAGGG